Molecule: ribosomal RNA, 253 nt
Filed under: uncultured bacterium
Lineage: Bacteria
Description: partial 16S ribosomal RNA
Rfam family: Bacterial small subunit ribosomal RNA
Source: RNAcentral
UACGUAGGGCGCAAGCGUUAUCCGGAAUUAUUGGGCGUAAAGAGCUCGUAGGCGGUUUGUCGCGUCUGCCGUGAAAGUCCGGGGCUCAACUCCGGAUCUGCGGUGGGUACGGGCAGACUAGAGUGCAGUAGGGGAGACUGGAAUUCCUGGUGUAGCGGUGGAAUGCGCAGAUAUCAGGAGGAACACCGAUGGCGAAGGCAGAUCUCUGGGCCGUAACUGACGCUGAGGAGCGAAAGCAUGGGGAGCGAACAGG